This is a long non-coding RNA of Caretta caretta (loggerhead turtle), 1058 nucleotides long. RefSeq lists it as uncharacterized. NCBI's taxonomy places the organism in Eukaryota, Metazoa, Chordata, Testudines, Cheloniidae. The record is from RefSeq and is a predicted model, not a curated record.
GAAAGGGUACUGUACUGGUCAUUACUUCCCCCAGGACAGGCAGCACCACUUAAACUCACCCCACUUAUGUAACAGCUGCACUUUGGGGUGUGACACAGCCAAAAAAAAAAAACAAAAAACCCACACUUUCUUCCUUUAUCAGCGAUAAGUCUCAAAGAGCAAAACAUAUGCUUCCAGCCUAAAAGGCGUCAUUUUAGAUUGAAGAAAAUAAAAAGACAGAACACAAGUCUCCAUGAGAGCUGUGUAUGUGUCUUCUGUAACAGCACACACAGCAACUGUGAGAACAAAAUGGCUGCUGUCUCUGCAUGCAGGAGACCUACACUUUUGAAGUGGGAUCAAGUUUCCAGGGAGAAGGCGCGAUGAAAGUGGAGAAAAACAACUUGAUUGUGGACAGAUGAACUGGGAGUGAGAAGAGUUUGUUCUGCAUAUGUAGUUACACCUGGUGACACCCACUAGGCAAGAUGCUUCCAGUCUAGACAGCUGGUUGUGAAUGGCUUAUUCAAGGUAAUGGACCAUUAGGGGAAACAAUAGGCCUUAGGAGAAGCUUAUCUCCACCUGGUGAGCCUUCCUGGGAACGCUCCAGAGAGCCUAUGCAUAAUGGCUGCUAUGACUCAGCAAGGGCAUGUGACCAGACCAAAUGACACUGAACUCCAUUUUGGUACCUGUAUUUUUCCCCACAAACUGGACUGGAAACUGAGUUUCAAACAAAGGAUACCCGCCAUAUGGAAAAGCUGUAUCAGGUGGGGAGUGACAUCAUCUCUGGGCCUCACUCCCCAUAUAAGAAAACUCCUGGAAACACCUGAGGAACAAAGAUGAAACUGAGGGAAAUCCUGGCCCCAGGCUAAAGGGAUUUCUAGCCUGUGUAUGGAAAUUUGGUGGACUGCUUGUAUCAUCAGUCAGGGUGAGAAAUUGUUAAUUCAAAUCCUAUCCCUCUAUUAUGUUAGACUUAAUUUGUGUUUUUGUUUAUUUGCUAGGUAAUCUGCUUUGAACUGUUUGCUAUAACUUGUAAUCACUUAAAAUCUAUCCUUUUAUAGUUAAUAAACUUGUUUUAUAUUUUA